GGGGCAAUGAUGAAACCUUUGCCCUAAUUCUAGAGAUGUGUUGUCUUAAAAGUCAUGCAAAAUAUAAUUAUGCUUACGACCC
Molecule: small nucleolar RNA, 82 nt
Organism: Carlito syrichta (Philippine tarsier)
Lineage: Eukaryota; Metazoa; Chordata; Mammalia; Primates; Tarsiidae
Gene: SNORD115
Rfam family: Small nucleolar RNA SNORD115
About the family: HBII-52 is a member of the C/D class of snoRNAs, which contain the C (UGAUGA) and D (CUGA) box motifs.
Source: Ensembl